This 116-nucleotide microRNA precursor is filed under the name Pelobates cultripes (western spadefoot toad). Lineage: Eukaryota; Metazoa; Chordata; Amphibia; Anura; Pelobatidae. The record is from RNAcentral.
CAGAGUAUGUGUGUUUGUAUAUGUGUGUAUAUAAUGCAGUGUGUUUGUGUAGUGUGCAUUAUAUAAACACACUACACAAACACACUGCAUUAUAUACACACACUGCAAACACACUG